RNAcentral lists this unclassified non-coding RNA (176 nucleotides) under Tepidanaerobacter acetatoxydans Re1. RNAcentral's name for it is "T-box". It matches the Rfam family "T-box leader". Rfam says of the family: Uncharged tRNA acts as the effector for transcription antitermination of genes in the T-box leader family. T-boxes are found upstream of many aminoacyl-tRNA synthetase genes and some amino acid biosynthetic genes usually in Gram-positive bacteria. Lineage: Bacteria; Bacillati; Bacillota; Clostridia; Thermosediminibacterales; Tepidanaerobacteraceae. The record is from RNAcentral.
AUAAAAACUAUGAAGGGAAGAGUAAGUUUACGAUUUUCUCUAAAGAGAGGGGCCGGAAGCUGCAAAAGCCCUGGGAAUAGUAGACCGAAGACCAACUCGGAGUUUUAUGGCUGUAAGCCUUUAUUAAAAUGAGUUUAAAUUAGGGUGGAACCGCGGGAAAACCUCUCGUCCCUUAA